GCGUCGGUGGUGUAACGGUUAGCACGGUUGCCUUCCAAGCAGUCGGUCCGUGUUCGACUCCCGGCCGACGCA
RNAcentral lists this transfer RNA (72 nucleotides) under Octopus vulgaris (common octopus). It matches the Rfam family "tRNA". Rfam says of the family: Transfer RNA (tRNA) molecules are approximately 80 nucleotides in length. Their secondary structure includes four short double-helical elements and three loops (D, anti-codon, and T loops). The record is from Rfam by way of RNAcentral. Lineage: Eukaryota; Metazoa; Mollusca; Cephalopoda; Octopoda; Octopodidae. RNAcentral also lists the same sequence under 1 other name.